This 479-nucleotide ribosomal RNA is filed under the name uncultured bacterium. RNAcentral describes it as "partial 16S ribosomal RNA". It matches the Rfam family "Bacterial small subunit ribosomal RNA", at positions 28 to 507 of the family's 1533-position model. The record is from RNAcentral.
GACGAACGCUGGCGGCGUGCUUAACACAUGCAAGUCGAACGAAGCUUGAUUACGGAUUCUUCGGAUGAAGUAUGAUAUGACUGAGUGGCGGACGGGUGAGUAACGCGUGAGUAACCUGCCCUUCAGAGGGGGAUAGCGUUUGGAAACGAACGGUAAUACCGCAUAAUGUAUUUUGACCGCAUGAUCGAAAUACCAAAGAUUUAUCGCUGAAGGAUGGACUCGCGUCUGAUUAGGUAGUUGGUGGGGUAACGGCCUACCAAGCCGACGAUCAGUAGCCGGACUGAGAGGUUGAUCGGCCACAUUGGGACUGAGACACGGCCCAGACUCCUACGGGAGGAAGCAGUGGGGAAUAUUGCACAAUGGGCGCAAGACUGAUGCAGCAACGCCGCGUGAAGGAAGACGGUUUUCGGAUUGUAAACUUCUGUUCUUAGUGAAGAAUAAUGACGGUAGCUAAGGAGCAAGCCACGGCUAACUACGUG